AUACGGAGGGUGCAAACGUUGCUCGGAAUUAUUGGGCGUAAAGCGCGCGUAGGCGGCUUGAUAAGUCGGAUGUGAAAGCCCUCGGCUCAACCGAGGAAGUGCAUACGAAACUGUCAGGCUUGAGUAUGUGAGAGGAUUGUGGAAUUCCCGGUGUAGAGGUGAAAUUCGUAGAUAUCGGGAGGAACACCAGUGGCGAAGGCGACAAUCUGGACCAAUACUGACGCUGAGGUGCGAAAGCGUGGGGAGCAAACAGGAUUAGAAACCCUAGUAGUCC
This 274-nucleotide ribosomal RNA is filed under the name uncultured bacterium. Its description in RNAcentral is "partial 16S ribosomal RNA". It matches the Rfam family "Bacterial small subunit ribosomal RNA", at positions 523 to 796 of the family's 1533-position model. The record is from RNAcentral.